GAGAGUUUGAUCCUGGCUCAGAAUCAACGCUGGCGGCGUGCCUCGGACAUGCAAGUCGAACGCGAAAGCCCCCUUCGGGGGGCAAGUAGAGUGGCGCACGGGUGAGUAACACGUAGGUAAUCUACCUUUGGAUGGGGAAUAACAACCGGAAACGGUUGCUAAUACCGCAUAAUGCAGCGGCACCUAAUGGUGACACUUGUUAAAGCGGGGGAUCGCAAGACCUCGCGUCUGAAGAGGAGCCUGCGGCGGAUUAGCUAGUUGGUAAGGUAACGGCUUACCAAGGCUGUGAUCCGUAGCCGGACUGAGAGGGCGGUCGGCCACACUGACACUGACAUACGGGUCAGACUCCUACGGGAGGCAGCAGUCGGGAAUUUUGGGCAAUGGGCGAAAGCCUGACCCAGCAACGCCGCGUGAAGGAUGAAAUCCUUCGGGAUGUAAACUUCGCAAGAACAGGAAGCCUAAGUAAGAGUUAAUAUCUCUUAUGAUGACGGUACUGUUUGUAAGCUCCGGCUAACUCCGUGCCAGCAGCCGCGGUAAUACGGGGGGAGCAAGCGUUGUUCGGAUUUACUGGGCGUAAAGGGCGCGUAGGCGGCCACCGCAGUCGACUGUGAAAUCUCCGGGCUUAACCCGGAAAGGUCAGCCGAUACUGCGGGCUAGAGUGCAGAAGGGGCAACUGGAAUUCUCGGUGUAGCGGUGAAAUGCGUAGAUAUCGAGAGGAACACCUGCGGCGAAGGCGGGUUGCUGGGCUGACACUGACGCUGAUGCGCGAAAGCUAGGGGAGCGAACGGGAUUAGAUACCCCGGUAGU
RNAcentral lists this ribosomal RNA (807 nucleotides) under uncultured bacterium. RNAcentral describes it as "bacterial SSU rRNA". It matches the Rfam family "Bacterial small subunit ribosomal RNA", at positions 8 to 794 of the family's 1533-position model. The record is from RNAcentral.